RNAcentral lists this unclassified non-coding RNA (335 nucleotides) under Hevea brasiliensis (rubber tree). Lineage: Eukaryota; Viridiplantae; Streptophyta; Magnoliopsida; Malpighiales; Euphorbiaceae. The record is from RNAcentral.
CCUGUGUAGUUAAGGGCACUAUAAUUCUCCAACAAAACCAUGUCUCCAUGGAAGUCGACAAUCUCCUUCCAUAUUUUUAUCAUCUCUUCAUUGGAAUCCUUUGCCUUUGCCACCCUAUCUUGCAGCUCCUUCAAUCUGAUGAUAUACUCCUCCUCCUUCUCCACGAAGAAGGUGUUGAAUUUCUCGAGCUCAUCCUCCAACAGUUUAAUGAAAUCGAUCUCCUCUUUUNNNNNNNNNNUUGUCUCCUCCGGCGGCGCCCUCUGUACAAUCUCCAGCGUCCAAUCUGGGGCGUUUGAUAGGCCUACCUCCACCUUUGUUUGGCUCUAUGAGCUUCA